Molecule: non-coding RNA, 190 nt
Filed under: Halanaerobium kushneri
Lineage: Bacteria; Bacillati; Bacillota; Clostridia; Halanaerobiales; Halanaerobiaceae
Description: Lysine sequence
Rfam family: Lysine riboswitch aptamer
About the family: Riboswitches are metabolite binding domains within certain messenger RNAs that serve as precision sensors for their corresponding targets.
Source: RNAcentral
UAAUGAGGUAGAGGCGCAAAUUUUGAUCAGUAAUCUGCUUGCUUAAGGCUUAAACCGCUGCAGCAGAGGAAAGGCAAAUUUGCCGAAGUUUUCAGUCAGGGUUUAAUGGCUGUUUGCUGGGUCUGUAUAUAAUAUAUGCAGAACUGUCAUUAAAAGUUUUCCAGGCUUUUAAUGUUGAGCUAUCUCAAAA